This 123-nucleotide ribosomal RNA is filed under the name uncultured bacterium. Its description in RNAcentral is "partial 16S ribosomal RNA". It matches the Rfam family "Bacterial small subunit ribosomal RNA", at positions 338 to 459 of the family's 1533-position model. The record is from RNAcentral.
CCUACGGGAGGCAGCAGUAGGGAAUAUUGGACAAUGGGGGAAACCCUGAUCCAGCCAUCCCGCGUGCAGGAAGAAUGCCCUAUGGGUUGUAAACUGCUUUUAUAAGAGAAGAAACAGAGGGAU